UAGGGAAUAUUGGUUAAUGGGCGAAAGCCUGACCCAGCAACGCCGCGUGCGCGAUGAAGGCCUUCGGGUUGUAAAGCGCUUUUGAGUGGGAUGAGGAAGGACAGUACCACUCGAAUAAGUCUCGGCUAACUACGUGCCAGCAGCCGCGGUAACACGUAGGAGACGAGCGUUAUCCGGAUUUACUGGGUGUAAAGCGCGUGCAGGCGGUUUGGAAAGUUGGAUGUGAAAGCUCCCGGCUUAACUGGGAGAGGUCGUUCAAAACUACCAGACUAGAGUACAGCAGAGGGGAGUGGAAUUCCGAGUGGAGCGGUAAAAUGCAUAGAUAUUCGGAAGAACACCAGUGGCGAAGGCGGCUCCCUGGGCUGAAACUGACGCUCAGACGCGAAAGCUAGGGUAGCGAACG
RNAcentral lists this ribosomal RNA (403 nucleotides) under uncultured bacterium. Its description in RNAcentral is "bacterial SSU rRNA". It matches the Rfam family "Bacterial small subunit ribosomal RNA", at positions 355 to 774 of the family's 1533-position model. The record is from RNAcentral.